CGGCGAAUUAUUUGGUCUCUUCCCACUUCCAUCCAGUUCUCUUUAGUGUUUGCCAAUGUUGGUGGUGUAACUGGGGUCUGGCCCUGGACAAAGGUUUAGAACAUGGCUCAAGUGAAAGUACAGGCGUCAGCACCCCUGGCUGGUCCUGGCCUCUCCACCAGUGUUUCCGUCACGGCCAUGUCCAGCCCUGGCUCCCUGAGUCUGCAGCCCUCUGUCAACGGCACAGCCGUGGCCCCCACACCUGCCUGCCCUGCUCCAGCAGUCGGAUAUGGGGAGACCCCUGUGCCACCUUCUCCACCAGGCCCGCCCCAGGAAGACAUGGCAAACCCUAAAGAGAAAACUCCAAUGUGUUUGGUGAAUGAGUUAGCCCGUUUCAACAGGAUCCAGCCUCAAUACAAGCUGCUCAAUGAGAGAGGACCUGCGCAUGCUAAGAUCUUCACCGUGCAGCUGACAUUGGGGGAACAGCAGUGGGAGGCAGAGGGAACCAGCAUCAAAAAGGCUCAGCAUUCCACUGCUGCCAAAGCGCUGGAUGAAAGUGUGCUUCCCAGACCAGCACCUAGGUCACCUAAAGUUGACAUCAACAGCAACCCAGGCAGUAUAACACCUACAGUGGAGCUAAAUGGUCUCGCUAUGAAACGAGGGGAACCAGCCAUCUACAGACCUUUGGAUCCCAAGCCGAUUCCCAACUACAGAGCCAACUACAACUUUAGAGGGAUGUUCAACCAAAGGUAUCAUUAUCCUAUUCCUAAGAUCUUUUUUGUCCAGCUCUCUGUUGGAAGUCAUGAGUUUAUUGGAGAGGGACGCACGCGCCAAGCAGCCAGACACAAUGCAGCCAUGAAGGCUCUGCAAGCCCUCCGCAAUGAACCCAUCCCUGAGCGGCCGCCACAGAGCCCUGAGGAAAAUGAAGAAACGGAAGACGGUGCUGAUGCAAGCAAAUCGGAGAUCAGUCUUGUCUAUGAAAUCGCCCUGAAGAGGAACCUGUCUGUUAACUUUGAGGUGUUAAAAGAGAGUGGGCCGCCUCAUAUGAAAAGCUUCCUCACCCGAGUCACCGUAGGAGAAUUUUCUGCAGAAGGGGAGGGCAACAGUAAAAAGCUGUCGAAGAAGCGUGCUGCCUUGUCCGUCCUGCAAGACUUGAAGAAGCUGCCAUUCAUUCCUGCUGUGGACAAGCCCAAGACACACUAUAAGAAACGCACCAAGACCAUCCUUAAGACUGGGCCAGACUAUGGUCAGGGCAUGAACCCCAUCAGCCGACUGGCCCAGAUCCAGCAGGCCAAAAAAGAAAAGGAACCUGAGUACCUGCUGCUUUCAGAGCGAGGUUUGCCACGACGAAGGGAAUUCAUCAUGCAGGUAAAGGUGAAUAAUGAGGUAGCCACGGGAACAGGACCUAACAAGAAGGUGGCCAAGCGGAACGCUGCGGAGGCGAUGCUGCUGCAACUGGGUUACAAGGCAUCAACAGUCACUCACAGUCCCACUGAGAUGGACAACAAAGGCUGGAACGGACAAAAGGCGUCUUUUACUGAAGCAACAAGUAGCAGCCCAAAAGGUUUGUUGCACCUCAGCCCAGAUGUGUACCAGGAGAUGGAGGCCAGUAGAAAACAGAGUAGUGGUACAACAAGCACUGGGAGCAGCUCAUCGAACUACAUAACUUCCAAAGAUGCAGGGUCCUGCUCUGCUCCACUUCCCCCAGGACACACUCCGUAUUACAGUGGAUCAUCAUCUCCCACCCCCACUGCGACCAUGGCCAGAGACCUGCUGCUAAAUGGACAGUCCCCAACGGUUGACGCAACGUUGCCUGCGAAGGGAAAGAGCCCAACUUUGGCCUGUGGCACCACAGUGCAACCUGCACAUCAGCUGGAAUAUCUUGCUCACAUCCAAGGCUUCCAGGUGCAAUACAGCGACGCACAAAGUGGUAAAGAUUUCGUGACUUACCUGACUCUCUCCCCGGUGCAAAUGACUUUCCACGGCACUGGGAGCACCCUUCAAGCCAGCCAUGACCAGAGCUGAAGUAACUGCCUGACCGUCCGUCUGUGGCGGCAGUAGGACACCAGGGGGGCCAAGGCCCACUGAGCUGUAUGUGAGGUGUCACUGGCGCGACAUGAGCGGCCUGCAAUCGAAGAUGACAGGGCUGCUCUAAGUGCCUUGAAACAGCUGUCGGAGCAGGGCCUGGACCCGGUAGAUGGCCCCAUCAAGAGCAGCGAAGCCUGCGGGAGGGAGGACGGACAUUAAACAGACUAACUCAGGCACCACCACUCAGGUCUGCACGGAUUCAAAGGCUGUCGUCAAGGAGCUGACAACCCGGACCCCUCUUCAGCACACACAUACCUGACAAACCUCUUCACCCCUGAUCCUCCUCCUAACCUACCACCCACAGUGUCCCCCCUCCUCCUCCUCCUCUUCCCUCCCCUGCCUGCCUUCACGAUUGCCACUGUAUCCUGCAAAACCUGUCAACAUGCAAUAGGGUGGAUGUGCACGAGAAAUGGCCGACUUUAAAAAACAAAAAAACAAAAAAAAAAAGAAGCAUUUCCUGAGUCUAUGUGAAGACAACACUAUCUCAACACGUUCAGUCAUGAUUUCUAUAUUUGAGUGAUGAAAUACCACACGAUGCAUGGGUCUCCAGGGGAAUCCAAAGUGACGCGCUGCUCGGCUCAUUUCCCUGGUAAAUUUAAAAAAGGCCAUGUCACUGGAAUGAACGAAGGGGACGUGCGUGCAGUAGCUUACUUUGUGGGCGGGGAGUUGACUAUGUUUCUGUUUCUUUUCUUUAUUCCGUUAUUUUAUCAAUCUAACCAUGCUUGAGUACUGUAUUUAAAAUUAACCAACGCCAGUGCUGUGAAAGUUGUAGUUGUUGUCUUCAUAUAUAGUCACCAGCUUACCUUGUAUGCUGACAUUUUAAAAAAAGGCUCAUCUAUCUCUAUGGAUGUGUACUACUCGCAUCUUAUUCCAGGUUACACCUGGAUAAAAAAAAGGGGAAAACUGAUGUUAGCAGUAAUCAGUAGAGCGUUGACUUCCUGAACAAUCUAACUGUCCCUUUUUAAUAUAUCACACAACCACGUGGCGUCGCUGGAGUGACAGAGGUCUCCAGCGAUCCCAUGUCAGUGGGUCGUUCUCUCUCUCUCCUGCCACAGUUUUGUCGAUCACAUCUACACCCAUUGUGAGUGUUGUACUGACCCACCCAGGCAUCAACUGGGUGCUUUUAAUGCUUGAAAGCGCAACCUGGGAGUGGACGACGGCUGCGUCCCAUCAUGCAGAGACCCCCUCUCUCCCUUCUUUGACUCACUCGGUCACCGACGCUGAGGAUGUUUUUUGUCUUCGCAGUGAGCGCUUUGUGUAUUAAUGUAAGCCGUUUGUGUGACUGACACGCAGUAAAAACACCUCAGUUCAUGUGGGAAACAAA
Molecule: RNA transcript, 3391 nt
Organism: Synchiropus splendidus (mandarinfish)
Lineage: Eukaryota; Metazoa; Chordata; Actinopteri; Syngnathiformes; Callionymidae
Gene: stau2
Gene name: staufen double-stranded RNA binding protein 2
Exons: 16
Source: RefSeq, a predicted model, not a curated record